ACUUUAGCUCAGCCGGUAGAGCAACGCAUUCGUAACGCGUAGGUCGUGGGUUCGAAUCCCAU
This 62-nucleotide transfer RNA is filed under the name Candidatus Cryptobacteroides excrementavium. It matches the Rfam family "tRNA", at positions 8 to 63 of the family's 71-position model. Rfam says of the family: Transfer RNA (tRNA) molecules are approximately 80 nucleotides in length. Their secondary structure includes four short double-helical elements and three loops (D, anti-codon, and T loops). Further hydrogen bonds mediate the characteristic L-shaped molecular structure. tRNAs have two regions of fundamental functional importance: the anti-codon, which is responsible for specific mRNA codon recognition, and the 3' end, to which the tRNAs corresponding amino acid is attached (by aminoacyl-tRNA synthetases). tRNAs cope with the degeneracy of the genetic code in two manners: having more than one tRNA (with a specific anti-codon) for a particular amino acid; and 'wobble' base-pairing, i.e. permitting non-standard base-pairing at the 3rd anti-codon position. Lineage: Bacteria; Pseudomonadati; Bacteroidota; Bacteroidia; Bacteroidales. The record is from RNAcentral.